This 75-nucleotide transfer RNA is filed under the name Candidatus Peregrinibacteria bacterium. RNAcentral's name for it is "tRNA-Pro". The record is from RNAcentral. Lineage: Bacteria; Candidatus Peregrinibacteriota.
UGGGAUGUAGCUCAGUUGGCAAGAGCGUGGCGUUCGGGACGCUGAGGUCGCUGAUGCGAGUUCCAGUCGCCCCAG